Long non-coding RNA from Amphimedon queenslandica, 839 nucleotides. RefSeq lists it as uncharacterized. The record is from RefSeq and is a predicted model, not a curated record. The transcript is spliced from 4 exons. NCBI's taxonomy places the organism in Eukaryota, Metazoa, Porifera, Demospongiae, Haplosclerida, Niphatidae.
CCCACGUGGUUUCAGUUUCCUCCGCCUUCUUCUAAAGUUCUAAACCUUCACCUGUUCCUCAAUUCUCUCGCUCUAGUGCAGAAGAUUUUCCCGUGCUCUGUUGUUCUAGCCUCGCUACUGUUGUUCAUUUGCUGGGAGAACUAUCAAGCUAUUGCACAAUGGAUUUGUGAAGCAGGGUCUGUUGCAAUGUAUUUUUGAUUGCACUGAUUGUUUUCCCCAUUGCUUCACUGGUGGAUCCAUUCCUUUGUUUGGUCACAUGACAGUCACAUGCUCUUCCUCACAUAACAACAAUAGCAAUAGUUUAUUCUUAAUAUUCAGGCAUCAUUAUACAAUAUAAUCAGCUCUACCGGCAACAGUAUAUUGUUGGAGUAUUGUUGUGAGUUUCUUCAUUUCAUUGUUACCUACAUCUCUCGCUUGUCUUUAAUGACGCACACUGCAACACUUGAUGGCAUCAUCACUAACCUGACCAAUACAAUCCAGUCGUUAGAGUCGUGUGACCAAUUGAACGAAGAUGGGAUACAUGUAUUAUUACAUGUUUAUUGGAUGAUGAUAUCACUACUAUGCAUAGCAGUUACUAUCCUUGGUUAGUAUCAUAAGUUCGUGUGUUCUAGGAUCAAUAUUGUAUCAUGUGCUGUUAAUCAAUGCCUUUCUUUAGCUUGGUGUAUGCAUGUGCUUUGUUGUUUAGUUAAUUCCAAUUAAUGCCUUUCUUCAAAUGUCACCUUGUCUUCAAUAGGAUCCUUUGUCCUAUACAUAAUAGCAUGUACUUGUAGCUACAUUGUAUGUUGUAGUUGCACUUGAUAUUUAUAUUUCUUUUUUUGUUCUUUUCUGUCGGUGAUAAA